CUAAUUUCUUCCCCCUUUCUCACUCUCGCACCCGCUCUCGCCACCAUCUCGUUCCCGUAUUCCCUGUCAAUCUCUCUUCCUCAUUCUCUCAAUAUGAAACGCAGACACCAGCCCUCAAUUGUUUGAGAGAGGCUUAAUUUCUGGGAGUCUUCUUCUCCAUUAUUUCAAGGUAGGCUUAAUUGUUUUCUGUUGUUGAUGCAUAAUCGGUUUACAUUAGCUUGCUAGCAUUUAAAUAUGGCUCUUGUAUAAUACUUAUGUGACUUUUAAAUCAAUGUAUGUUUAUGCUUUUGUAACUAUUUUAGUGAAUCCAGUAGAUGUCAAUUUGUGUAAAGCCCGAUUCUGUUGAAGUUAUUAUAUUGAAGAUGUUUAUGCUUUUGUAACUAUUACAUAUGGCUCUUGUAUAAUACUUAUGUGACUUUUUUAUGGGUUCUUAUAUUGAAGUUAUUUGUAGUUCUUUUGCAGUGUUCUAAUUUGAUAUGGAAUUGGAAUUUUGGAUUGAUUGAUUGUGUAGUAGUUUGAACAAUAAGAGGAUUCUUUAUUUUUGAUUUUUAAUCCUUUUCCAAUCGGGUUUAGUUUCUUUACAAAUUCUUGUAUAUUUGUUGAUAUGCAGUGGAGACUAAGAUAACUUCAAAUUUUCAUCUUCUGCAGUAGGCUCUUCUCAAGUCACUUCGAAAUUUAGUAAAUCUGCUAUCAUCAACGACUAAACGGUACCUCUCUAUAAUGGAUCUACAACCUCCUCAUUCUGCAAACUGACUACAUCUCAUGUUCCUAAAAUUAUAUUGUUACUGUGCGUGUACUCCCUCCCUUCACAUUGGUUUCUGCAUCGUUACAUUCUAGAGAGAGAUUGCAAGAAUGUUUUUGUGGAAAAUCACAAAAAUAAAGGCAGCUUAAUCGGCUAUAUUUGUUGCUUAUAUAAUUAAGUUGAUUGUUAUUUCCUUAUUCAGUUCUGAUUGUAAGUUGAAGACCUUCCUUUUGUAUCCCUAACUUUGUUGUAUAUAUUGAGGCAUUGUAUAUCGAAGAUAACAUAAGAAUAGGAAUUAUUUUCUAAAAUAUCCACUGGCGAAGUGUUUUUCCUUUGGUAUCAAAAGAAGCCAAAAUAUCUUGGACUUGGGCUUUAAUAGAUGUUAGUGUCCGGAUUUGUUAUUUACCCAUUUAGGGAGAUUUGGUCGGUGAUGUCUCUCUAAUAAGUAGUGUCAAUAAUAGAAAGUUGUUUUCUAUAUUAUGGUAGUGCCUAUUGAUAUGAUGCGAUUAGAUUGUUUCUAGAUUUUUGUAUUUCCUCAUGUCUUACUUUUGUAUUGUAGCUGGUUCGCAUUCUGCUGUGAUGCUCUCUAUCAAGCAUGCGUAAUCCUUGAUGAAUAUUAUUCUGUAUUGAUAGAGUUUAAACUUUGGGAUUUUUCUUCUUAUUUUUGGCGGCCUUUAAGGGUUUGAAGAGUGAUUAUGUGUGAAUCUAAAAUUAUAGGGUUUAAUUAGGGACUCAAACAGUCAAUUGUCAUUUUGUAAUUGGCUAUUGAAAUUUGAAUUUGAAAAAAUGCUUGUUGGCUUGUAAAUGUCUUGAUCAAGGUAAAAGUUUUUCUAGCUGAUAGUUGUAUUAUUUUAUCCAAGACAUGAUUCUUAUUUUUUGAGGAGUAGAUCAAUCUCAGUGAUCACUACUUAAUGAAAAGUAUUGUAUAUCUCUUUCGUGCCUUGAAUUUAUUAUAGAAUCGACUUUGUAGAUUUCCUUUUCUUUCCUUGAUUUAGGAAGAAUCUAGGCACGAUUUUUGGUAUAGCUUUCUUCACAUGCUUCUAUAUAUUUACCCUUUGAGUUUAGAACUUGGCCUGUAUAUCUCUGGCCUUUAAGCAAUAAUAGAACCACAACUGAAGUUUAUAAUUUGAAUGUUCUAAAGGGAAGAUGAAUGUUUACAAAAUUUCUUAUUUAAUCCAUGCAUGUACUACUACAAUUAUCACUUAAUGAGCGGGGUUUAAGCAAUAAGCCGAAAAUUCCAUUCGAGAUGAUGUUGUUGCUCGAAUUUUAGGUCCCGAGCGUCGUGGACGAGUAAGGGGACUUGGACUUGGGUUACACCAUCAAAAGUAGAUGGAAAUACACAAAGCAGUGAGAAAGUGAGAGAACUUGAAAGCAAAUUACAAACUCAAUCAGUAAGGAUGGAAGCACUCGAAGAAAAGGUUGGAG
RNAcentral lists this long non-coding RNA (2167 nucleotides) under Olea europaea subsp. europaea. The record is from RNAcentral. Lineage: Eukaryota; Viridiplantae; Streptophyta; Magnoliopsida; Lamiales; Oleaceae.